RNAcentral lists this ribosomal RNA (557 nucleotides) under uncultured bacterium. RNAcentral's name for it is "bacterial SSU rRNA". It matches the Rfam family "Bacterial small subunit ribosomal RNA", at positions 912 to 1478 of the family's 1533-position model. The record is from RNAcentral.
GACGGGGGCCCGCACAAGCGGAGGAACAUGUGGUUUAAUUCGAUGAUACGCGAGGAACCUUACCCGGGCUUGAACUGCAGCGGAAGGAUACAGAGAUGUUGACGCCCUUCGGGGUCGCUGUGGAGGUGCUGCAUGGUUGUCGUCAGCCCGUGCCGUGAGGUGUCGGCUUAAGUGCCAUAACGAGCGCAACCCUUUUCAUUAGUUGCCAUCAGGUAAUGCUGGGCACUCUGGUGAUACUGCCACCGUAAGGUGUGAGGAAGGUGGGGAUGACGUCAAAUCAGCACGGCCCUUACGUCCGGGGCUACACACGUGUUACAAUGGUAGGUACAGAGAGUCGGAUGUACGCAAGUACAUUCUAAUCCUAAAAGCCUUCCUCAGUUCGGAUUGGGGUCUGCAACCCGACCCCAUGAAGCUGGAUUCGCUAGUAAUCGCGCAUCAGCCAUGGCGCGGUGAAUACGUUCCCGGGCCUUGUACACACCGCCCGUCAAGCCAUGAAAGCCGGGGGCGCUUGAAGUCCGUGACCGCAAGGAUCGGCCUAGAGCGAAACUGGUAAUUGG